UUAAAAUAAUAUUUCGUUCAGUUUGGAACUUUACUUUUCCUUUUUAUAUUCUUCCCAAACCCUAGAUUUCACCGAUCCCAACUUCCUAGGCUCUGCAACGCAUUCGCACCCGACCCGUGGUGCAGAUCCUCCUCGUCCUCCUCCACGCGACUCACGUUGUCCACCAGCACCCGCGCCUUCAGCGAAACGACGCACCGCUCGUCGUCACCGUAGAAGCGCAAGCGCAGCACAGCGCGACGCUCAGAGAGCUUGGACGCAGCGUCGUCGAAGAAGAGGUUUUUCUGGCGGUGGGUGACGACGUGGAAAGGGGAGAGCAAGCUGGUGACACGACGGUGGGCGUUGGUGUCUGCGAGGCGCAACUUCACUUCCACCUCCAUUGGGAAAGAAAGGUGGGAGACUGAGGCUAGGGUUUUAUGAGGAGAGGCCGAUACGAUGCGCCUUGGAAGCGAGAUCUUCAGCACCGCGAUCCAGCUGACGGAGGAGAGAAGUGGUGCCAGCAGGGGCGGUAGCGGUGGCAGUGGUGACGGGAGCGUUGCGUCGGCGAGCUUCCUCGAGUUCUUCUUUGUCUUCGAUCUUGACUUCAAUUUUUGUUGGCUUUCUUCUCAGCAUUUUCUAACUUGCAAACCGCUCUUCCGCAUAUUCUUUCUUGCGUCGGCAAGCAUGUUCGAUUUUUGUUUAGGGUAAAGGAAGAGAGGAUUGAUGUGUUGCUACUUUUUGGUUUUUACUGAGUAAGCAGUGAGAGAUGGCUGCUAUGAAGUUGUCCUAGGUGUUUUUUCCUUUGCAACUCUUGGUUUCUCGUUUUAAAUCCUUUCUAUUUGUCACAUACUUAUGCCAUUUUUUGGACAGAACUUCUUCUUUCAUUCUAGCAGAAGAUACUUUCCCCAGCUUCUUGCAUGUAAUAUUCAACCAUUCUUUCACCUUACCCUCGUUUAGUAUGAAUAUUCCAGAUCUGUUGCACUUUCCAAGAGUGAUCUUACUGAUGACGUUGUGUUACUAGUAGUUAUGGUAUGAGUUAUUUGUUGGCCAACCACCAUUUUACACAAAUUCUGUAUAUGCUCUCAUCAGACACAUUGUUAAGUUCAACAAUCCAGGAUCCUGUUAAAUAUCUUGAUCGCAUGAGUCCAAAUUUCAAAUGCUUCUUAAAGGGUUUGCUUAACAAGGAAUUGCGAGAGAUAAAUGGUUCACGCAUGCGUAGUGAAGCAGAACGGAUGGUUGAAGGGCUGCCAAAGAUUGGACAGACUUGAAAAUAACUCUCGCACAGUCAAAGAUGCAAAACUAAUUUGUCAAGAUAAUGAAGCGUUGGGACAUAUUCUGCUACCACUGCAAAAAUGGUCAAAAGGAUCUCAAAAUAUUUGCAGUGAUCAAGAUGUUCCUCAAUCAAAUUAGUCAUUGAGGAUUCUCUCAAACCUAGUUGCAGCUGGUGCCUUCAAUUCUAGUGGAACUAGUAAGAGAGCUUCUUGUGUUUACUGGAGACGUUAUAGCCAUUAAGUCCUCUGAAGUUACUGACAUGAUAGCAAAGGUAUCUGAUCAAGGGAAUGUGCCAAACAAUGGAUGUAAUGAAGAAGAAGAAAAUUAGAUAUUGUUAUUGAAUAUCUUUGAGUCAUAUUUUUAGUAUGUAGUAAACAUCUAUAUUGAACAUAUGUAAUGAACAUCUUUCUUUUUAAUUUUUAUGUAUGAACAUGUAUGAAUGAUAUUAGGUUACAAUGAAAUAGUUUCCUAUUAUUGAAAGAAGGAAGAAAAGCACAUUAUAAUGUUGAUGUUGAUGGGUAUUUUGAAAAUGUUGAUGCCAACACUUCACCUUCAAUAUUAAUCU
This is an RNA transcript of Vigna radiata var. radiata (mung bean), 1813 nucleotides long. RefSeq lists it as uncharacterized. The record is from RefSeq and is a predicted model, not a curated record. Lineage: Eukaryota; Viridiplantae; Streptophyta; Magnoliopsida; Fabales; Fabaceae. The transcript has 7 exons.